Molecule: ribosomal RNA, 623 nt
Filed under: uncultured Pseudozyma
Lineage: Eukaryota; Fungi; Basidiomycota; Ustilaginomycetes; Ustilaginales; Ustilaginaceae
Description: eukaryotic LSU rRNA
Rfam family: Eukaryotic large subunit ribosomal RNA
Source: RNAcentral
AAAAGGGAAUUCCCCUAGUAACGGCGAGUGAAGAGGGAAGAGCCCAAGAUUGAAAGCUGGCGUCUUCGGCGUCCGCAUUGUAAUCUCAAGAAGUGUUUUCCGCUUCGGACCAAGCCUAAGUCCCUUGGAAAAGGGCAUCAUAGAGGGUGAUAAUCCCGUACAUGGCUUGGAGCGCCCGAAGCUUUGUGAUACGCUUUCUAAGAGUCGAGUUGUUUGGGAAUGCAGCUCAAAAUGGGUGGUAAAUGCCAUCUAAGGCUAAAUAUUGGGGAGAGACCGAUAGCGAACAAGUACAGUGAUGGAAAGAUGAAAAGAACUUUGAAAAGAGAGUUAAACAGUACGUGAAAUUGCCAAAAGGGAAGGGUAGGAGGUCAGAGAUGCGGCCUGGGAUUCAGCCUUGCUUUUGCUUGGUGUUUUUCCCAGAUUGCAGGCCAACGUCGGUUUUGGGCACUGGAGAAGGGUGGAAGGAAUGUGGCACCUCUCGGGGUGUGUUAUAGCCUCCUACUGGAUACAGCGACCGAGACCGAGGACAGCAGCGUACUCGCAAGAGCGGGCCUUCGGGCACCUUUACGCUUAGGGCGUUGGCAUAAUGGCCCUCUACCACCCGUCUUGAACCACGGACCAAA